This 481-nucleotide ribosomal RNA is filed under the name uncultured bacterium. RNAcentral describes it as "bacterial SSU rRNA". It matches the Rfam family "Bacterial small subunit ribosomal RNA", at positions 21 to 518 of the family's 1533-position model. The record is from RNAcentral.
GGCUCAGGACGAACGCUGGCGGCGUGCUUAACACAUGCAAGUCGAGCGAUGAAGCUCUUCGGAAGUGGAUUAGCGGCGGACGGGUGAGUAACACGUGGGUAACCUGCCUCAUAGAGGGGAAUAGCCUUCCGAAAGGAAGAUUAAUACCGCAUAAGAUUGUAAUAUCGCAUGAUAUAGCAAUUAAAGGAGUAAUCCGCUAUGAGAUGGACCCGCGUCGCAUUAGCUAGUUGGUGAGGUAACGGCUCACCAAGGCGACGAUGCGUAGCCGACCUGAGAGGGUGAUCGGCCACAUUGGGACUGAGACACGGCCCAGACUCCUACGGGAGGCAGCAGUGGGGAAUAUUGCACAAUGGGGGAAACCCUGAUGCAGCAAACCGCCGCGUGAGUGAUGACGGUCUUCGGAUUGUAAAGCUCUGUCUUCAGGGACGAUAAUGACGGUACCUGAGGAGGAAGCCACGGCUAACUACGUGCCAGCAGCAGC